GUCGAGGGGUAUAGUAGCAUACUAGAGACCGGCGCACGGGUGCGUAACGCGUAUGCAAUCUACCUUUCACAGAGGGAUAGCCCAGAGAAAUUUGGAUUAAUACCUCAUAGUAUUAUGAAGUGGCAUCACUUUAUAAUUAAAGUCACAACGGUGAAAGAUGAGCAUGCGUCCCAUUAGCUAGUUGGUAAGGUAACGGCUUACCAAGGCUACGAUGGGUAGGGGUCCUGAGAGGGAGAUCCCCCACACUGGUACUGAGACACGGACCAGACUCCUACGGGAGGCAGCAGUGAGGAAUAUUGGUCAAUGGGCGCAAGCCUGAACCAGCCAUGCCGCGUGCAGGAUGACGGUCCUAUGGAUUGUAAACUGCUUUUGUACGGGAAGAAACACCUCUACGUGUAGAGACUUGACGGUACCGUAAGAAUAAGGAUCGGCUAACUCCGUGCCAGCAGCCGCGGUAAUACGGAGGAUCCAAGCGUUAUCCGGAA
This 485-nucleotide ribosomal RNA is filed under the name uncultured Bacteroidota bacterium. RNAcentral describes it as "bacterial SSU rRNA". It matches the Rfam family "Bacterial small subunit ribosomal RNA", at positions 61 to 550 of the family's 1533-position model. The record is from RNAcentral. Lineage: Bacteria; Pseudomonadati; Bacteroidota.